UGGCCGGAACACAUUUACUGUCAGUGUAUCAUAGUUCUUUUAUUUGUAAAACCUCCCUUAUUUACUCAAGCAGACGACGAGAACUAUUUAACUACCUGCUAGUGAGGGUUAUUUUUUAAUGAAUCAGGAGCUCUGUUGGAUGCAAAGACAAACAUCUCGCUUUAAUAGCAACGCGUCUUAACUAGAAGAAUGAAGAGGGGAACUAAUUUUUGUAUUGUUCUGAUAACACUUUUUUUAACCACACUUGUGGUCCUUCGGCCCUGCCAGGGAAUAGCGGCCGGUGGAAAUAACUGGAGCAGAAGAUCAAAACCUGAGGCUAAGCGAGCAUUGGAAAGUAUGUGCAGAGUAGCGAGAGAGCAUUGCAAGCGAGAGAUUCUUUCUGACGACUUCGACCUGCCCCGCCUCCGCGCAGGUCAAUAAUCUUCAAAGCUACAGUCAUUCAAGAAGAAGAGAAAGAUUCUCUAAGAUAGAAAAAGAAGACCUCUUUCGUUAUGGGAAGCAAAGUAACCCAAACUUGAAUAUAGAGAUAUAUUCUUAACAGCAUUAACUUGUAUUUAACCGACCCAAUUAACUAUGAAAUAAACUGCAAUGUUUGAUUCAGUCA
Molecule: long non-coding RNA, 604 nt
Organism: Stylophora pistillata
Lineage: Eukaryota; Metazoa; Cnidaria; Anthozoa; Scleractinia; Pocilloporidae
Source: RefSeq, a predicted model, not a curated record